UAGUGUUGCUAUUAUAUUUGUGUGGGGGAAGUUAAGUAACAUUUUUAAAUAAAAGAGAGUGGCCAAUCUUUCACUGCAGGGCUAUGUCUAGUUUUUACAGAGCAAUGGCCUCCCAAGAUCCCUUCCAGCCCAGGCGUCUGGCAUUUACCAGCUUCUAGUACAGGGCUCUGAGACUCCCAGAACAGCGCAGAAGCAAUUGCUUAUGCUUAACGUCUAUGCUGUCAAAAUCCAAUGGAAAAAUAAGAGCCACACUAAAGCAGAAUCAAUAUAAGUUGUGAAAGUGUUGACCCCUAACUCUAAAAGUACUUUCUAAACAUUUACUGAAUAUCUGCUAUACGCCAGUCACUCUUCUAAAGGCUAAGGAUACAAAAGACGAGUAGUACAAAGUUCUUGCCCUCGAGGAAGUUCAAAGCCCAAUAAGGAAAGGAGACAGCAAAUAAUCAGCUACAGUGUAAUAUGGUCAGUGCUAAGACAGAGCAUGGAGCAGGUGCUGUGGGAUGUUAAUUAGGGCAUGUUUGGUGCAAAGAAUAAGAAUUACUUCAACCUAGACAAGAUUGGUAACAAGGGAUGAUGAUAAUGAUACAUUUGUGGGUGUGCCCUGAUCAGAAGACUCUGAAAGAAGGAAUAGUUCUUUAAGUCAAACCUGAUGAAUUUCUUGUAUUAAACAUCAGAAGUGGGUGAGAAAUGGCAGCACUGAACAAACCAGGGAACUAAGAGGUUCUGCCACUGACUGUCUGUAAUAGCAAAAGGUUGGGGAAAAUUGAAUGUCCAUCCAUGGGGAACUUGUUAAAUGAAUGAU
This 799-nucleotide long non-coding RNA is filed under the name Homo sapiens (human). RNAcentral describes it as "non-protein coding lnc-ENOPH1-5:1". Lineage: Eukaryota; Metazoa; Chordata; Mammalia; Primates; Hominidae. The record is from RNAcentral.